This 331-nucleotide ribosomal RNA is filed under the name uncultured bacterium. RNAcentral describes it as "bacterial SSU rRNA". It matches the Rfam family "Bacterial small subunit ribosomal RNA", at positions 917 to 1247 of the family's 1533-position model. The record is from RNAcentral.
GGGCCCGCACAAGCGGUGGAGUAUGUGGUUUAAUUCGAUGCAACGCGAAGAACCUUACCAGGGUUUGACAUCCUGCGAAUCUCUUGGAAACAGGAGAGUGCCUUCGGGAACGCAGUGACAGGUGGUGCAUGGCUGUCGUCAGCUCGUGUCGUGAGAUGUUGGGUUAAGUCCCGCAACGAGCGCAACCCACAUCCCUAGUUGCCAGCAGUUCGGCUGGGCACUCUAUGGAAACUGCCCGUGAUAAGCGGGAGGAAGGUGUGGAUGACGUCAAGUCCUCAUGGCCCCUUACGGGUUGGGCUACACACGUGCUACAAUGGUAGUGACAAUGGGU